UCCCAGUUCGGAUUGUAGUCUGCAACCCGACUACAUGAAGCUGGAAUCGCUAGUAAUCGCGGAUCAGAAUGCCGCGGUGAAUACGUUCCCGGGUCUUGUACACACCGCCCGUCACACCAUGGGAGUCAGUAACGCCCGAAGUCAGUGACCUAACCGAGAGGGAGGAGCUGCCGAAGGCGGGACGGAUAACUGGGGUGAAGUCGUAACAAGGUACC
Molecule: ribosomal RNA, 215 nt
Filed under: uncultured bacterium
Lineage: Bacteria
Description: partial 16S ribosomal RNA
Rfam family: Bacterial small subunit ribosomal RNA
Source: RNAcentral